This is a long non-coding RNA of Bubalus bubalis (water buffalo), 391 nucleotides long. RefSeq lists it as uncharacterized. Lineage: Eukaryota; Metazoa; Chordata; Mammalia; Artiodactyla; Bovidae. The transcript is spliced from 2 exons. The record is from RefSeq and is a predicted model, not a curated record.
UGACCCACGCUGCAGAGUCCAGGGCCAGGGCUAGCUGUGAGAGCAGAGGGAGGGCACGGGAGCCCUCCAGGCCGGGAGCAGGGAGGAUCCUGAACCUUCGCCAACAUCCAGACCCUGGACCAGAUGUUGGUGAUACAAUGAUGAGCCAAAGACCAGCAUGCCCCUUGUGGAGCUCACAGCCUUGUGGGAGCAGAGAGUCCAGUGGGAAGGCAGAAGAGUGCCACUGUGAUAAGCUCCAGGAAUGUGUCAGUGGACAAACUGGACCUCUUUAGAGAGAGAAAUGAGGGAGCCAUAUGAGCAUUCCAAACAGGGGAACAACCUGUGGAAAGGUCAUUCAUCGGGAGGGCGCAAAGCACGCAUUAGGAAUUAAAAGAGGCAUGAGGUGUCUGGG